AUGUUUUAGGAGAAAUUGUGAUUUUAUAAAAUGAUUUUAUAAAUUUUCUGAAAAAUCGAAUACUGGUUUUGAAAAUAGAGUAAUUGGAGACUGCCUACUUGUGUUGUAAAAUUAUGAUUUGAAUUAAAUGGCUUGUGAUAAAUUGGCAUGAUUGGCUGAAUUUAUACUUGUGUUGAAAAAUAUGAACUGUUUGUUUUGCCUUGAUAAAUUGGUUAGUAAUGUAAUUGCC
RNAcentral lists this long non-coding RNA (229 nucleotides) under Theobroma cacao (cacao). RNAcentral describes it as "long non-coding RNA (TCAC_LNC001748)". Lineage: Eukaryota; Viridiplantae; Streptophyta; Magnoliopsida; Malvales; Malvaceae. The record is from RNAcentral.